UUUGUUUGUGUUUUUCUUUUAUGCAUCAUCAUGUAUCAUGCAUCAUAUCAUCCAUGUUUUAACUAAAUAAAAUUAUUUUAUAAACCCUAAAAUAUUUUGUUUUCUCUCUCAUAUGGUUUAAUAAAACCUCCCAUCUUCUUAUGUUCAAAGAAAAACCAUAUACAAAUUAUUUUAUAAAUGUUUGGAAAAACUGUCUACAAUAAAAUAAAGCAUUUCAAAUCUUUUUCAAACUCUCCUCUUUCUCUUCUUUAGACGAGAGAUAAAUCUGAAGAAAAAAAAAUACCAAGAAGCCUGAAGCAGCUCAACUUCCUUUAAUCCAACAUCUCCACCUUGCCUUCCUGGACGAGACACGCAGGGAGCGUGACCACGUCCACUCCUCACGCGUGCAGCGUCAGCAGCCGUGAUCCUUUUUCUCAUCUCUGCUUUUUCUGGACGCUCCCCAGCCACAGCUCCUCAUCGCCUCCUUUCGCUUUCCCCUUCUCCACGAAAGAAACAGAGAGGGUUUCCCUGGAAACGAUGGCGCCGCCGUGUGAAGAUCGCCGUCGCCCCGUCAACUCCAGACGCCCCGAGGAAUACCAAGGCCAUCAUGAACUUCUCCUUGCCACGCUGAACACCCUCGACCGAAGAAAUCGCUGAUUCGAGCUCGGAAUCGACGUCAACAACCUCGUCUCUUUUCCGAGUCCGGCGACGAAUUCGUUGUUCCGUCGCCGUUCGAACUCCUCCGCUUCCACCGACGUGCUCUUCGGUUUGACGGUGUCCGGCGCCGGCUCUCUCCGGUGACCUCCUGGUGGUGGCGCCGCCUCUCCUUGAAUCCCUGCAGCGAGGCGCACCUCCUGUGCCUGCUUCCCUGUCCCAGCCUGCUCCCGUCCACCGGUCCCGUGCUCGAUCGGAACCUGCUGCCACGGUGCUCCGUCGAGCUCUGCUUUCCAUCUUCAUCUUCCCUGACGGCUACCGGCGCUCACACGACAGUUCGGCCACCUUCGGCUUCUGCCUGCUUCAACGAGCACAUCAACAAGCCUGGGUAUGAAGAUCGGUACGAUGGAGAACGACGCUAGCAAGGUUACCCUUCCGGCUUGGCCUGGGCAGGGUUAUGGACGCCACUGGUUAUCUUCAGGACUCUUAGUCCAUAUUUGUAUCUUGUCCGUACUCGGACAUAUUUGAUCUUCUGUAUGAUUUGGAUCUUAUGUUGUAUAUUGUAUCUUGACUCGUUGGAGUCGUUGUUGUAAUAUAUCUGUUUCUUGUGGGCUCUAUUGUAAUCCUGUUGUAAUGUUACCGCUCGUGAUUGAUUCCACCCGCAUCGCGUGCAUGCUUCGGCGUGUACGAGGCGCUUGGUGGUGCGUCUCCUAAAAUCGAUAUCGUGCGGAUUUCGGCGGGUUCGCUGGGAUCCUCAUGGUACCGGUUUUGGGGCGUCACAAGUUGGUAUCAGAGCAUCAGGUUGUCGAUACCCCACUAGUCCAGCCAUUAGGAUAACCUUGCCAACGGUCGUUGAGUUAGAGUGUCCAAACUAUUUUCUAAAACUCGUUGGAUAGUUCUGACUAGCUCUGAUUUUUCUUCUUACCUAUAUUCUUUCUCAUCUUACCUUUGCGAGUUUUGAGUCUUCUCUCUUAUCUGAGUUUUCCGAGUCUUAGGUUCUGACGUGGGUUGGACGAUCUUUGCCCCUCACCUAUUAGGUCCGAUCUUCGGAGGUCCUGACAAAAGCGCAUCAUCGACAGCGGAACAACGACUCCUUGUUAGUGGUGUCGACCGAUCUAUAUGGAGCAAGAACUCUUGUUAGUGGUGUCGAGAAGAUCAACACUUCGCCAGAAGAAGGUUCCACCUCGAGGUCGGGUGAUUAUCAACAUGGUACAAGAAGACCCGAUAGUUUAACCAACUCCCCCUUAGGUUGACGUGGAACCUCGGGGCGAGGUUCCUUCUUAGUGGUGUCGAUUGUAACGGCCCAGGGUAGCACCACUAUUAGAUUUGUUUGUGUUUUUCUUUUAUGCAUCAUCAUGUAUCAUGCAUCAUAUCAUCCAUGUUUUAACUAAAUAAAAUUAUUUUAUAAACCCUAAAAUAUUUUGUUUUCUCUCUCAUAUGGUUUAAUAAAACCUCCCAUCUUCUUAUGUUCAAAGAAAAACCAUAUACAAAUUAUUUUAUAAAUGUUUGGAAAAACUGUCUACAAUAAAAUAAAGCAUUUCAAAUCUUUUUCAAACUCUCCUCUUUCUCUUCUUUAGACGAGAGAUAAAUCUGAAGAAAAAAAAAUACCAAGAAGCCUGAAGCAGCUCAACUUCCUUUAAUCCAACAUCUCCACCUUGCCUUCCUGGACGAGACACGCAGGGAGCGUGACCACGUCCACUCCUCACGCGUGCAGCGUCAGCAGCCGUGAUCCUUUUUCUCAUCUCUGCUUUUUCUGGACGCUCCCCAGCCACAGCUCCUCAUCGCCUCCUUUCGCUUUCCCCUUCUCCACGAAAGAAACAGAGAGGGUUUCCCUGGAAACGAUGGCGCCGCCGUGUGAAGAUCGCCGUCGCCCCGUCAACUCCAGACGCCCCGAGGAAUACCAAGGCCAUCAUGAACUUCUCCUUGCCACGCUGAACACCCUCGACCGAAGAAAUCGCUGAUUCGAGCUCGGAAUCGACGUCAACAACCUCGUCUCUUUUCCGAGUCCGGCGACGAAUUCGUUGUUCCGUCGCCGUUCGAACUCCUCCGCUUCCACCGACGUGCUCUUCGGUUUGACGGUGUCCGGCGCCGGCUCUCUCCGGUGACCUCCUGGUGGUGGCGCCGCCUCUCCUUGAAUCCCUGCAGCGAGGCGCACCUCCUGUGCCUGCUUCCCUGUCCCAGCCUGCUCCCGUCCACCGGUCCCGUGCUCGAUCGGAACCUGCUGCCACGGUGCUCCGUCGAGCUCUGCUUUCCAUCUUCAUCUUCCCUGACGGCUACCGGCGCUCACACGACAGUUCGGCCACCUUCGGCUUCUGCCUGCUUCAACGAGCACAUCAACAAGCCUGGGUAUGAAGAUCGGUACGAUGGAGAACGACGCUAGCAAGGUUACCCUUCCGGCUUGGCCUGGGCAGGGUUAUGGACGCCACUGGUUAUCUUCAGGACUCUUAGUCCAUAUUUGUAUCUUGUCCGUACUCGGACAUAUUUGAUCUUCUGUAUGAUUUGGAUCUUAUGUUGUAUAUUGUAUCUUGACUCGUUGGAGUCGUUGUUGUAAUAUAUCUGUUUCUUGUGGGCUCUA
Non-coding RNA from Lolium perenne, 3208 nucleotides. The record is from RefSeq and is a predicted model, not a curated record. NCBI's taxonomy places the organism in Eukaryota, Viridiplantae, Streptophyta, Magnoliopsida, Poales, Poaceae.